UGGACAUUGGCGUCGUUUCUCGACGAAGGGAAUUGCUGACGGCGGAGUGAUAAAGGGACGGCCUCGCCUGUCCGGGAGGCCUCUGCGCGCGGGGUCAGUGGGAUCUGACCCUGCAGUCAUCUUACCUCCAGCGAUGCUGGCAAUGAGUGUGCUCGGUGUGAGGGGCGUCACCGGUCCGAUCGGCG
Long non-coding RNA from Pollicipes pollicipes, 185 nucleotides. RefSeq lists it as uncharacterized. The record is from RefSeq and is a predicted model, not a curated record. The transcript is spliced from 3 exons. NCBI's taxonomy places the organism in Eukaryota, Metazoa, Arthropoda, Thecostraca, Pollicipedomorpha, Pollicipedidae.